GACUUUGAUUAUAUAUAUGUCUAGAUGGAGUGUCACCAUACAAUCCCAACAAAGAAGCAGAGACAAAAUUGUUAUGCAUGUGUGCGUGUAGAUGUCAUUUUACACUGCGCGUUGACGUAAAUAAUGAUACCAGCUUCUACGAUUCUCCCAUAAAUAAUGAAAAAAAAAUAGACUAAUUAAAUAAGUUUGUAUACAUAGUGUUAUUCGGUUUAACUAUAACUUUAUAGAAAAUUGAACCUCGCUUGGCACUGCUCCUUUUGUAAGUCUUCGUCGCCCUAUCUUGUCGACAGUACUCAUGUCCUUGCUGUGGAAGUGAUCGGAACACACUACGGUAUUUUUUGUUGGUGUCCACAUCGCAUCUCCGCGGCUUUUUUUAAUGCGGUCUGACUCCUAACAAUAGGAUUACUUGGAAUUCUAAAAAAAAUUAUGUUACGUCGAUGACCAUGAUUUACUAAUCAAAUAAUAGUAGAUAAUAUUUUGGAGAAUCAGAAAAUGUCUAUCCGAGCAAUAAAAAUAGAAAUUAUACCUAUUACUUUUUUCCGCAGUGCUUAAAAAAAUAUCCUUUAUACAUAACAUAAACACGUGAAGUUGGGAAAAUGAAAAACAGAAACUGGCAACACUGAUACAAUAUGGCGUGAUUUAAUAAACAUAAUUACAAAAAAACAAAUAUUUAUUUUCUGGGUCAGUUACCGAUGAUAGGUGAUGUUAUUGGCACUUUUUAGCCUUCCUUUAUAAUUCCGGCAGACUUUAAUUGCACAUGUCGUCAUUUUACCUCUGUUAUUUGUAUUUUAGUUAGCGCGCGUAAUACGUUUUGACAGUUAAGCGGCACGAUCUGUUCCAGGGUCUGUCAAGUUUGUUCUACGAAUUGCAUUAAGGUGGGCUUGAAAACAAGAGAGAGUCAACGACAUCAGAGUAAAAGAGAUAAAUAUAUAAUGUUGCCACCAAAAAUACAAUUUCGUAUUCUCCCUAAUAAUGAGCGUAUAAAUUGAUUUUUAAAGUAAAUUACCCUUGAAGAUACUUUUAGCUAUUAUUCUAAUGCCAAAAAAUAUACUUAGUUGAGAAAUAUUAGAUAUAAAAUUUAAUAUUACUUAUUAGAAAAUAUAUAUGGGGGAUUAUGUGUGGCAACACUAAUGUCCGGACGCCAUAUUGGUUUUGACAUUGUUGACGUCACAAGAAAAAUGUCUGCGGCCGGUUGCGCACCAUUUUAUCUUGUACUAAUGUUUAUUUGUAAUAAAUAAACUACUUCCAUUUAAUUCUACAUACAUUGAUAACGUUGAGUCGAGCUUGCUCCUCCGUUGCUGUGUUUUGGUGAAAUUAAGUGUGUAUUUGUGAGAUAUAGACUCGGUGUUGAGACAGUGACUUGUUUGAUUUUGUUUUGUGUUUAAUUCGCGAUGAGUUCACAAAAAGAAAACACAAGAAUCUGCUGCUUGUGUGGAUCUUCACCUUCUAAAGAUCCCAGCAUCACUUUGCAUCGGUUUCCAAAGCCUGGCACUAAAAAUGCUCUGCGUUGUGAAUUAUGGGCAAAGUAUUGCUUCCCAAACGAAGCCUGGUCUUCACCAAAAUUCCAGGACGACUCCAUAAACAACAUAAGAUGCUAUGCAGCAAACAUUUCAAAAGCACAUGCUUUAAUGAGAAGAAGUUGUUCAGAACAGCUGUACCUGAUGUAGUAAAUGUUUGUAAAUAUCAAAAUAUAAUUGGUCUAGUGUCUUUCUCUUCCUAAUCAUUUCUAUAAUAAAGAAGAAAUAACACCAACGUUUAUUACACAAUAUGAUAGAAUAAUUUAAACCAUGUCUGUAAACUUGUUGUUUGUUAAACAAAUCGAUAGUAUUCUUUAUUGUAUAAUAACAUAGUCUUGUUUUUAUAAUAGUAACACUUUAAAACUAACUAGAAUUUUUGUUUGUUUAUGUUUUGAUGUUGAAAUUGUAUGCAAUAGGCCCAUCCAUACUUGUUAUUUUGGACGAAAAUGUCUGAAAUACCUACCUAAAUUGAUUAAAUUCAUGUAUUUUAAAAUUCAUUACAUAGGUGCACAUACUUGUGAUUUAUGAACACCUUUUGUACCCUAUUUCUGGAAAUAAAUUAUAAUUAUUAACAUGCUAAAUAAAAAACUCUUGUACUGUAA
This is a long non-coding RNA of Helicoverpa armigera (cotton bollworm), 2119 nucleotides long. RefSeq lists it as uncharacterized. The transcript is spliced from 2 exons. The record is from RefSeq and is a predicted model, not a curated record. Lineage: Eukaryota; Metazoa; Arthropoda; Insecta; Lepidoptera; Noctuidae.